This 440-nucleotide ribosomal RNA is filed under the name uncultured bacterium. RNAcentral describes it as "partial 16S ribosomal RNA". It matches the Rfam family "Bacterial small subunit ribosomal RNA", at positions 338 to 795 of the family's 1533-position model. The record is from RNAcentral.
CCUACGGUGUGCUGCAGUGGGGGAUAUUGCACAAUGGGGGAAACCCUGAUGCAGCGACGCCGCGUGUAGGAAGACGGUCCUCUGGAUUGUAAACUACUGUCCCCAGGGACGAAGAUGACGGUACCUGGGGAGGAAGCUCCGGCAAACUACGUGCCAGCAGCCGCGGUAAUACGUAGGGAGCGAGCGUUAUCCGGAUUUAUUGGGUUUAACGGGUGCGUAGGCGGAAGGUGAAGUCAGCGGUCAAAUGUCGGUGCUCAACACCGGCCUGCCGUUGAAACUGGUAGUCUUGAGUGAGCGAGAAGUAUGCGGAAUGCGUGGUGUAGCGGUGAAAUGCAUAGAUAUCACGCAGAACUCCGAUUGCGAAGGCAGCAUGCCGGCGCUCAACUGACGCUGAGGCACGAAAGCGUGGGGAUCGAACAGGAUUAGAUACCCUAGUAGUC